GCCCCCAUCGUCUAGCGGCCUAGGACAUUGGCCUUUCACGUCAAAGACACGAGUUCAAAUCUCGUUGGGGGCGCCA
This 76-nucleotide transfer RNA is filed under the name Petrotogaceae bacterium. RNAcentral's name for it is "tRNA-Glu". It matches the Rfam family "tRNA". From Rfam's summary of the family: Transfer RNA (tRNA) molecules are approximately 80 nucleotides in length. Their secondary structure includes four short double-helical elements and three loops (D, anti-codon, and T loops). Further hydrogen bonds mediate the characteristic L-shaped molecular structure. tRNAs have two regions of fundamental functional importance: the anti-codon, which is responsible for specific mRNA codon recognition, and the 3' end, to which the tRNAs corresponding amino acid is attached (by aminoacyl-tRNA synthetases). tRNAs cope with the degeneracy of the genetic code in two manners: having more than one tRNA (with a specific anti-codon) for a particular amino acid; and 'wobble' base-pairing, i.e. permitting non-standard base-pairing at the 3rd anti-codon position. The record is from RNAcentral. Lineage: Bacteria; Thermotogati; Thermotogota; Thermotogae; Petrotogales; Petrotogaceae.